Molecule: long non-coding RNA, 241 nt
Organism: Carcharodon carcharias (great white shark)
Lineage: Eukaryota; Metazoa; Chordata; Chondrichthyes; Lamniformes; Lamnidae
Exons: 2
Source: RefSeq, a predicted model, not a curated record
UUGGCCACAGUGCGAUAAAGGUCCAGCAUGAAGACUGGGGCAGAUGAUGAACGUUUGAUAGACAACAAAGGUUUGGGACGCCGAGCAGUCCCAGCUCAGAGAACCUGUAGAUGAAAACAUUAAUCAACUGUGCAAGAUUACAAGGUAGUGGAAGAACUGUAAAUAUCAUUUACUGUUGCUCCAGAAACAGCUUCUUUAGACCUAAAUAUCUAUUUGUACCAGUAAAUAAGUUGGAGCUUUA